GCAACCUCAAGCUGGCGCGCGAGAGCAUCGUCGUCUUCCGCUCGCUGCUGGGCAUCAGCUGGAUGUGGUUCUUCGGUGCCGUCUUCCUCAGCCUCUUCCCGGCCUUCGCGAAAGAGGUGCUG
RNAcentral lists this non-coding RNA (122 nucleotides) under beta proteobacterium AAP65. Its description in RNAcentral is "Burkholderia RNA 11". It matches the Rfam family "Burkholderia RNA 11". Rfam says of the family: Co-purified with Hfq, expression confirmed by Northern blot. The record is from Rfam by way of RNAcentral. Lineage: Bacteria; Pseudomonadati; Pseudomonadota; Betaproteobacteria.